Molecule: long non-coding RNA, 935 nt
Organism: Salvia miltiorrhiza (redroot sage)
Lineage: Eukaryota; Viridiplantae; Streptophyta; Magnoliopsida; Lamiales; Lamiaceae
Exons: 3
Source: RefSeq, a predicted model, not a curated record
UUUUGAACUUAAGAUUUAAGAUGAUUCACGCCGGAUUGAGAAAAAGAAUUUAUUUUAAUUCCAACAAAAAUGAUUUACAAAAGCAUUUGUAAAUUUAGUAAUUAAAUUAUAUGCAUUGCAUAUUUAUUUAAUUUAGCAUUCAAGCAUUUUUUUUACGAGCUUUUAUUUAAGCAAACACUGAACGAUUAUUACAGUUUUCAUAGUACAACCUGGAAGACUUUUUAUUUUAUUUUAUCUUAUUUUAUUUUAUUCCUACACCUACUCCCUCACCUAACAUAUACCACCUACCUCCCUCAAAAUAAGCUGUCACCUACUACCACCACUUUAAAGCAACCCCAAUUAAACUUUAAGCCAUACGCCUAUGAACAUAGGCAAUCAAAUGCUCCAUAACUCCUCUGCAUCCAUAAGUAUACCAUAUCCAAGCUCUCCUUUACUCAAUUCAUACAAAUUAUUUGCUGUGCCACGUUGAAACAGAAAGCAAUUCAUUCUCCUCACAAAUCAAGCAAUCGAACCAUUUCAGAUUUCAACGGCUCAACUCAAAGCCCUUCCUCAAACUAGUAGAACACUCAGGCAUAACAUCAAGAAAAAGCUCAGCCUUUCCUAUCAAGGCUUCGAGCAUCAGAAGGAUUAGCACUGCUAUUCCGAUUCAGAGAUAAGGUUAAACGACAGGCUUUGCCUAUACAGGUUGAGCAGUUGAUGGAAUGGAAUGAUGUUGAGCGGGUGUUCCUUUGACAUUUCAAGAAAUGUAACCUUGAGUAUACAUCUUCAUAUGUAUAUCUCACACGUUUUCCGCUGCAAAACACUUUGAUUAGGAUAACUCCAUGUUAUGAAGUUGUUACACGUGUUAUUGGGUAACCCACCUUAAUCAGUUCUCUUUUAUGUGUAUGUUUUACAAGUAUCCAAAUGAUCAUAUAUGAUCCUAGCUUUUUAUCUAU